GUGAGGAAUAUUGGUCAAUGGGCGAAAGCCUGAACCAGCCAUGUCGCGUGAAGGAUGAAGGUCCUAUGGAUUGUAAACUUCUUUUGCAGGAGGGUAAAGUGAGCUACGUGUAGUUCAUUGCAAGUACCCUGCGAAUAAGCAUCGGCUAACUCCGUGCCAGCAGCCGCGGUAAUACGGAGGAUGCGAGCGUUAUCCGGAUUUAUUGGGUUUAAAGGGUGCGUAGGCGGACUAAUUAGUCAGCGGUGAAAUUUUGCGGCUCAACCGUAAAACUGCCGUUGAAACUGUUAGGCUUGAGUGCGGUAGAGGUAGGCGGAAUGUGUGGUGUAGCGGUGAAAUGCUUAGAUAUCACACAGAACACCGAUUGCGUAGGCAGCUUACUGGAGCGCAACUGACGCUGAGGCACGAAAGCGUGGGGAUCGAACAGGAUUAGAAACCCCAGUAGUCC
Molecule: ribosomal RNA, 445 nt
Filed under: uncultured bacterium
Lineage: Bacteria
Description: partial 16S ribosomal RNA
Rfam family: Bacterial small subunit ribosomal RNA
Source: RNAcentral